Molecule: long non-coding RNA, 2704 nt
Filed under: Sorghum bicolor (sorghum)
Lineage: Eukaryota; Viridiplantae; Streptophyta; Magnoliopsida; Poales; Poaceae
Description: long non-coding RNA (SBIC_LNC012646)
Source: RNAcentral
GGCCUCCCGUUCGUUCCCGUAGCUUCUGGAGUCUUCUAGAUGAUAGAAAAUUGCGCGGCACGUUGAUAUCUCUAUGUAAACCCGACGUGUGGGUCUUUCUUUCAUAUUUCCUGAUAACCCCCUGCAGAAAUAGACAAACACCAAAACUCGUGGAAUUCUGUCAGAUAAAACCCUAAGUCUAGGUGUUGGUUGUAUUUGGAUCCUUUUCUUUAUUUAUUUGAUGAUUCUAUUUGGUACUUAAGGACCGUCAACAACUCCCCCAAGCUUACCUCUUGCUCGUCCCUGAGCAAGGAUGGACUCAAGAGUUUCUGCAGUGGUUUCAUGCCUUAAAAGUACACAUGCGUUCAAGCAAGAUCUCAUCUCUGAGUUAGAGUAAACUGUUAAGACUUAAAACUUAUUCAUUUUACCUUUCACCAUGGGGCUUGCAACCGUCACUUGUGUCUUGAGCAGUUAAAAGAUAGAAUAGUCAAGUCAAGCGCCAUGUCUCUUGUUCUUUGAUUAACUAUAACUCUAGAGUUUUUGCAGAUUUUCAAAUAAAACUCAAAGAUUCCUUGUAUGACUCUCUCAAAUAUCUCUUUUGUGGUAUUUUCUGGAUCCUUUCUAAGGCAGUAAUGGUAUAUGCCUUCUCUCAAAGUAUGUGGUAUUUUUGGUAUGAGGCAUAGUGAUAUUGCCUUCUCUCUCACCCUACUCUAAUAAGGUUUUGAUAUUUGGAGCUCAUAGGUGGGAGACAGAUAAUACAUACUUACAAGACAUUUAUUGCAUAGUCAAACCAUGGAUCUAGAAGAACAAGUCAAUAAUUCAAAUCAAGAUGUGCAUGUGUGGCGAAUGAAUGGUGUAUGGUGAUAACAAUGGUGAAAGUCUAAUUCUACUUUUGCUCUUUUAAGGGGAUACAUACCUUUCUUGCAUUUUGAAGCUUUUUGAGGAGAAUGAGAUGCUCUAUAUUUUUUUCUCUGAGGUGGGUAUCUUGUACCCCUAAUUCUACUGUCGAACACUUGUACAUUUUUACCUCUCGUCUCACUUUUUCUUUUCUUUGAGGUUCUGGGCACUUGCCCCUUUUUAUUUCCUCGUAUUGUUUUUUCCUUUUCUCCUUUUUUUAGAGCACUCACCCUCCUAGAAUAAUGUAGCAAGUGGUAGUAACCAAAAUAUCUCGAGCAUUUAUUUCACAAGGAAUAACAGGGAUAGGAAACAGUUUUUAGCUAUUCUCUCCCGGAUAAGAGUGGAAUAAUUUUAGGUGAAUCUGGAGGUGGAAUUGAGUGGAUGUAUGUGGAUGCGUACUUCCAGAGUAGAAGUAGCAUGUAUGAGUGAACGUGCAAGUGAAUCUUGAUUUUAACCGCAUGACAAGCUCCUAAGGGUCUACAAAGUUUGACCACACUCAAUGCUCAUAAGUAGUGAAAAGUAAAUAUAUGGUUCAUAGUCUAAUAAGCAUGUAUAUAUGGCUGUGGUAGGAUUUUAAACUUUCAUCAUACAAGAACUCAUCAUGCAACAUUUUAAAGAUUUUCAAAGAUAAAAUUCUCUAGAAUUCUAGCAUCUCUAGGAACAGAUAAACAGCAGCUCAACCUUUCCAUAUCAUAUCCGUUAACGACUUAGGCUUUAGAUCAAGUACUCUUGCCACAAGUUCUGGUUUAGAGCAAAUUUUAAUUCAUAACAGUCAUGCCUAAACUUGAGAGAGAUUUCAAUUUUGAGAACUAGUCAUGGCAGAGCAACUAUUUAUCAUUUUUAUGUGAGAGCUUAUCAUGAGGGUUCAGUUUGGCGUAGACACAGAAUUUUAAGCAAAGAUAUAUAUGCACAGAAUUUUUAUUUGGGUUUUCAUGAUUAUGCAUCUUUUUGUUAUUUGUGUAAAGUAUAAACGCGAGUAGAAACACUUAGCUGGAUAAAUGGGGGUGCUCUCACCCAAGCUGGAUUUUGACGUAAUUUCUUCUGAUGUAGCUAGGAGGUGGCGGAGGUGUAUUUGAAUGUCGACAGCACCCAGACAGCGAUUAGGAUGUCCUCUGUCUGCUAGUCUUCUUUGAUCCUUGAAUUCUGUGGAGGUCAAAUAGACAACAAAGCUUUGUAGAACUGGUUAAGUGUUAGCAAAAAUAUCUUGCCUUUAUCAUGUUGAGCCUCCCCAAUAAAUGUUACUCUCUUUGGUAGGAUCACAAUCUUAUUUUUAUAUUUCAUUUUUAUAGAGCAGAAAAAAUAUUUAUUUUAUUUUUAUGCCACCACAGUGAAUGUACUUAUGGAUUUUAUGCCAUUCGUAUAUUCACAUGGGGCUUACUAUUUUUAGCAUUUUUAUUUUCUUUUCAAGAUAGUAUGAACCCGAUUAACUAAACAAGCUAUUUAAGGAAAAUAAAUAAUUUGAAGGGAAAAGGAUAACUACCAAGUUUACCUCUUGGCACGGCGUUUAGUGUUUUUAAGUCCUCCGAACGGGACUCCUUGUGUUUUCAGUCGUCCUAGGAUUCCGGCGGCGCCUCCUCUUCUAGUACAACUCUCUUCUCUAUCCAUACCUAAUUUGGUGCUACGGUCUCCUCUCGACAAUCCUGUUCAAGAUGUAUAUCUUUGGACCUUAUUACAUCUCCUUUGUAGUCUGCCCAUCUGUCCUUGAUGAUUUGCCUCCUCUGGUUUUGGUUGCGUCGCCUUCUUCUCAUCCUGGUCUGCUUAGAAUCUUCAACUAUAUAGUUAGAAUCAUUAAAGUAGUAGCAUACCUUCUCAGAGGGAAAGUGCAUGU